RNAcentral lists this ribosomal RNA (279 nucleotides) under uncultured bacterium. Its description in RNAcentral is "partial 16S ribosomal RNA". It matches the Rfam family "Bacterial small subunit ribosomal RNA", at positions 506 to 784 of the family's 1533-position model. The record is from RNAcentral.
UGCCAGCAGCCGCGGUAAUACGUAGGUGGCGAACGUUAUCCGGAAUUACUGGGCGUAAAGGGUCCGUAGGCGGUUUUGUAGGUCUGACGUGAAAGCCCAUGGCUCAACUGUGGGAUGCCGUUAGAAACCAUAAAACUAGAAUCGUUUCGAGGUCGGCGGAAUUCCCGGCGUAGUGGUGGAAUGCGUAGAGGUCGGGAGGAACGCCAAAUGCGAAGGCAGCCGGCUAGAAGAUGAUUGACGCUGAGGGACGAAAGCGUGGGUAGCCAACAGGAUUAGAUA